This 637-nucleotide ribosomal RNA is filed under the name uncultured Thelephoraceae. RNAcentral's name for it is "eukaryotic LSU rRNA". The stretch from base 235 to 390 matches the Rfam family "5.8S ribosomal RNA". The record is from RNAcentral. Lineage: Eukaryota; Fungi; Basidiomycota; Agaricomycetes; Thelephorales; Thelephoraceae.
GUAACAAGGUUUCCGUAGGUGAACCUGCGGAAGGAUCAUUACUGAAUUGUCAACAAGAGUUGUUGCUGGUCCUCGGACAUGUGCACGCUCUGUUCACACAUCCACUCACACCAUGUGCACCCUCUGUAGUUCUAUGGUCGGGGGGCCUGUCCUCCUGCUGUGGUUCUGCUUCUUUACACACACACUGUAACAAAGUCUCAUGGAAUGCAUGCAGCGUUUAACGCAAUACAAUACAACUUUCAGCAACGGAUCUCUUGGCUCUCGCAUCGAUGAAGAACGCAGCGAAAUGCGAUAAGUAAUGUGAAUUGCAGAAUUCAGUGAAUCAUCGAAUCUUUGAACGCACCUUGCGCCCUUUGGCCACCCCCAAAGGGCAUGCCUGUUUGAGUAUCAUGAACACCUCAACUCUUCAUGGUUUUCCAUGAUGAGCUUGGACUUUGGGGGUCUUGCUGGCCUUAUAAGUCAGCUCCUCUGAAAUGAAUCAGCUUGCCGGUGUUUGGUGGGCGUCACAGGUGUGAUAACUAUCUACGCUUGUGGUUUUCCACCAGGUAACCUUCAGCAGUGGAGGUUCACUGGAGCUCACAGACGUCUCUCCUCAGUGAGGACAGCCCUUUGAAUGUUUGAUCUCAAAUCAGGUAGG